RNAcentral lists this ribosomal RNA (425 nucleotides) under uncultured bacterium. RNAcentral's name for it is "partial 16S ribosomal RNA". It matches the Rfam family "Bacterial small subunit ribosomal RNA", at positions 354 to 796 of the family's 1533-position model. The record is from RNAcentral.
GUUAGGAAUAUUGGACAAUGGGCGCAAGCCUGAUCCAGCCAUGCCGCGUGAGUGAUGAAGGCCUUCGGGUUGUAAAGCUCUUUAGCCGAUGAUUAUAAUGACUGUAGUCGGAAAAUAAGCCCCGGCUAACUUCGUGCCAGCAGCCGCGGUAAUACGAAGGGGGCGAGCGUUAUUCGGAAUCACUGGGCGUAAAGCGUGCGUAGGCGGCUUUGCAAGUUGGGAGUGAAAGCCCAGGGCUCAACCCUGGAAUUGCUCUGAAAACUGCAAGGCUCGAAUUCGGGAGAGGAUAGCGGAAUUGUCAGUGUAGCAGUGAAAUGCGUAGAUAUUGACAGGAACACCAGUGGCGUAAGCGGCUAUCUGGACCGAUAUUGACGCUGAGGCACGAAAGCGUGGGGAUCAAACAGGAUUAGAUACCCGGGUAGUCC